UUUUAUUUCAAUAUAUAUACUAGUAAAAUGUACGUGCAAAUGCCCGUAAUAAUUAUUAGAAAAGGUUAUAAUUUUUUUAAAUUAUUUUUUAAUUUUAGGCCAUAUUUUAUAUGAUUGCCAAAUAUGUAUCUAAAAAAUUUAAAAUAAUAAAUCACGCUAUUAAGAAAGAUAUGCUUUAAAUGAUAAAUAGUUAACAAUAAUCUCUAAUGCAAAAAUUACUUUUGAAAUUAAAUAGAAAAAUUUAUAUUUUACGAUUUUCACAUCUCUAAUCUGUUAUAGAGAACUCACGUAUUCAUUACUGUUUUUAUUUCUAUUUUUAUUCUUAUAUUUAAAAUUUUUCGUACGGAAAGAGAAAAAUAGGCACUAAUUUUUCCGCCAAAAAAUGGGUCUGUCGACAGACCCAAAUUUGAAUAUACGUGCUUUUAUAUAUAGUAUAGAUAUAUAUAUAUAGAAUUGAGUUUCUAUGUUUUUAAAAGUAUCAAGUUAUUAGUGCUUGUAAGUUUUCGGCUCUUGGAUUGAACGAUGUGCGGUUAAAAUGAUGUGAGCCCCCUAAAGUUGAGUAGGUGGUUGGUUGAAUAAUAUAAUCUAACGGGUAAAAAUGAUCAAAGGUAGAGAUCUACCGGUAAAAAAUUUACAAACACCAAGUGCUUAGUACUUAUACAAGCACCAUGCAUAGUCGGACUCUAUAUAUAUAUAUAUAUAUAUAUAUAUCAUUUUAUAUUAUUUUUUAUCAGAUUGAUUUUAUGAUUAAUACAGUGUUACAAUAGUUCUA
RNAcentral lists this long non-coding RNA (772 nucleotides) under Ananas comosus (pineapple). RNAcentral describes it as "long non-coding RNA (ACOM_LNC032845)". Lineage: Eukaryota; Viridiplantae; Streptophyta; Magnoliopsida; Poales; Bromeliaceae. The record is from RNAcentral.